UACGUAGGGUGCAAGCGUUGUCCGGAAUUAUUGGGCGUAAAGAGCUCGUAGGCGGUUUGUCGCGUCGGCUGUGAAAUCCCGAGGCUCAACCUCGGGCCUGCAGUCGAUACGGGCAAACUAGAGUGUGGUAGGGGAGACUGGAAUUCCUGGUGUAGCGGUGAAAUGCGCAGAUAUCAGGAGGAACACCGAUGGCGAAGGCAGGUCUCUGGGCCGAUACUGACGCUGAGGAGCGAAAGCGUGGGGAGCGAACAGG
Molecule: ribosomal RNA, 253 nt
Filed under: uncultured bacterium
Lineage: Bacteria
Description: partial 16S ribosomal RNA
Rfam family: Bacterial small subunit ribosomal RNA
Source: RNAcentral